AUUGAACGCUGGCGGCAUGCCUUACACAUGCAAGUCGAACGGUAACGGGCCUUCGGGUGCCGACGAGUGGCGAACGGGUGAGUAAUACAUCGGAACGUGCCCGAUCGUGGGGGAUAACGAGGCGAAAGCUUUGCUAAUACCGCAUACGAUCUACGGAUGAAAGCAGGGGACCGCAAGGCCUUGCGCGGACGGAGCGGCCGACGGCAGAUUAGGUAGUUGGUGGGAUAAAAGCUUACCAAGCCGACGAUCUGUAGCUGGUCUGAGAGGAUGAUCAGCCACACUGGGACUGAGACACGGCCCAAACUCCUACGGGAGGCAGCAGUGGGGAAUUUUGGACAAUGGGCGCAAGCCUGAUCCAGCCAUGCCGCGUGCAGGAUGAAGGCCUUCGGGUUGUAAACUGCUUUUGUACGGAACGAAAAGCCUUCUUCUAACACAGGAGGGUCAUGACGGUACCGUAAGAAUAAGCACCGGCUAACUACGUGCCAGCCGCCGCAGUAA
This 498-nucleotide ribosomal RNA is filed under the name uncultured bacterium. RNAcentral's name for it is "partial 16S ribosomal RNA". It matches the Rfam family "Bacterial small subunit ribosomal RNA", at positions 30 to 523 of the family's 1533-position model. The record is from RNAcentral.